This 336-nucleotide ribosomal RNA is filed under the name Triticum aestivum (bread wheat). RNAcentral describes it as "partial small subunit ribosomal RNA". The record is from RNAcentral. Lineage: Eukaryota; Viridiplantae; Streptophyta; Magnoliopsida; Poales; Poaceae.
AUGCGCAGGACCGGCAUGGACUUCCAGAGGUCGCGCCAGCGCCGAGCCAGCACGCAGGUCUGCACGGCCUCCGCCACCGGCAAGAAGGACAGUACGUGCUGCAGGACCUCGCCCGGCAGCGCGUCGAUCCCCUCGCCGCCACGCGCCUCGGGCGCCGCCUUCCAACGGCGGGAGACCGUUGCUUGCUCCUUAGGCAUUACGCCGAACAGGUGGGGAGCGCCGGCUCUGGCCGCUGAAAAACAGAACCCGACGAAGAUCAGGCAUGGACGGACCCUUCGCUGCAUCAACUGGCACCUCGGAGUGAAAAUUAUGAGCUCGUUGAUCGUUUACCUGUAG